RNAcentral lists this ribosomal RNA (466 nucleotides) under uncultured Klebsiella sp. RNAcentral's name for it is "bacterial SSU rRNA". It matches the Rfam family "Bacterial small subunit ribosomal RNA", at positions 338 to 795 of the family's 1533-position model. Lineage: Bacteria; Pseudomonadati; Pseudomonadota; Gammaproteobacteria; Enterobacterales; Enterobacteriaceae. The record is from RNAcentral.
CCUACGGGUGGCUGCAGUGGGGAAUAUUGCACAAUGGGCGCAAGCCUGAUGCAGCCAUGCCGCGUGUGUGAAGAAGGCCUUCGGGUUGUAAAGCACUUUCAGCGGGGAGGAAGGCGUUAAGGUUAAUAACCUUGUCGAUUGACGUUACCCGCAGAAGAAGCACCGGCUAACUCCGUGGCCAGCAGCCGCGGUAAUACGGAGGGUGCAAGCGUUAAUCGGAAUUACUGGGCGUAAAGCGCACGCAGGCGGUCUGUCAAGUCGGAUGUGAGAUCCCCGGGCUCAACCUGGGAACUGCAUUCGAAACUGGCAGGCUAGAGUCUUGUAGAGGGGGGUAGAAUUCCAAGUGUAGCGGUGAAAUGCGUAGAGAUCUGGAGGAAUACCGGUGGCGAGGGCGGCCCCCUGGACAAAGACUGACGCUCAGGUGCGAAAGCGUGGGGAGCAAACAGGAUUAGAUACCCGAGUAGUC